This 312-nucleotide long non-coding RNA is filed under the name Mytilus galloprovincialis (Mediterranean mussel). The record is from RNAcentral. Lineage: Eukaryota; Metazoa; Mollusca; Bivalvia; Mytilida; Mytilidae.
CUAAAUGAAAGGGCUGCUCUGUUUAAUGGUCUCAUCUGGCUUCCCGAAGGCUGCGAUUUGGACUUAAAACUACUGGUUUUUGGAAAAGAAACUCUCUCCUAUGAUCAAAAUGUGCAAUUUGUUAAACAAGUAUUCAAUUUUAUAAAGAGAUCAAAACGAUUCCUCGUAGUAUAGUAUCAACAUAGGUAAAACGCAUAUCAUCAUCAUUAUCAUCAUCAACCUAAUUUCUGUCGUUCUUUCCUCAUUCCCUCUACUUUUUUCAGUAUAGUUAAGUAAUAUUUAUGUUGUUUAUAUUAUAUGAUGCAUGGUCAC